Long non-coding RNA from Cercocebus atys (sooty mangabey), 1113 nucleotides. RefSeq lists it as uncharacterized. Lineage: Eukaryota; Metazoa; Chordata; Mammalia; Primates; Cercopithecidae. The transcript is spliced from 3 exons. The record is from RefSeq and is a predicted model, not a curated record.
GGAUGGACACACCCUCAGCUGAGGCGUUGAUGUAGCCACCAUCAUAGCUGCCAAGGGGGUUAAUAUUCACUCCAGAUUCGGAAACUGAGGUUCAGUACGAGGAAAUAACUGGUCCAAUUUCCUCCUUGAAGACCAGUCCCUUUUCUGUGUGAAGAACGGGCCAUUUGGUGUCUGAAGUCACUUCCGGAUUUGAAACUCAAGGAUUCUAAGGUUCCGUACGAGGUGUGGCUUUCCCAGGGUCCUCGGUUCUAGGGCAUUGUAUCCCCACACCUGGUGCCUCUCCAUCGGGGCUUGGAUGUCAACCUUGGGCAGCUCACUCUCUCUCUGACUUCCUUUUUCUUUUCUUCUUCAUAUCCCACCCUCCUUCCCAGUUUCUAUGCCUCUGUCAGUCUGCUAGCUGACUGACUCAUGCGGCCCUCUGUCUGUGGUCCUCUAAGCCUCAUAACCGUCUGUGCUUUCAUUAUACUCCCCGUGGGCUUUCCAGCCUCUACUUGUUUUGAGGAAGAGGUGGAGGAUCCAUAGCAGUGCUGUCUAGAUGUUUGGAUUUCAUAGGCCAGUCACAACAUUUCAAAGUAAGUGAAGGGAGGGGGCCCCAAAGGUAGGGAUUUUUUCCUUUGAUAAUAAGGAUAGGCCACCAUCUUCAGCCCAAGCUUGUCCCUUUUCUGCAGGACCUGCCGAAAUGUUACAAGAAGUGGCCAACAUAAUCCAACUCGAAUUUUUCCACGUGCCCUAAUACUGCAGUCUUUGGAGUCCUCCACAUAAUGCAGGCUUUGAUCUAACAAGGAUUGCCAACCCUUAGCCAGGAAUCAUGAGGAUGUCACCGCCCUCUGGCCUUCUUCCUCUCUUCCACCAGCUAGAUCCAUAUUUUAGCUUCCCUCCAACCCCAGUUAAGUACCAAACCUGCUCCCUUUCCAAGCUUCUCUAUCACUCGUCAUGGCACCAGCUUUACCCAGUGCUCAAGUCAAAAAUAUAGGAGUCAUCCUUGACUUCCUUUUUUUGUUACACCCCACAUCAGCAAAUCCCGGUGUCCCUAACUCCAAAAGAUGCCCCACCUUAUGCCUGUAAUCAAAGCACUUUGGGAGGCUGAGGCGGGAGGAUCACUUGAGCCCAGGG